Triticum aestivum (bread wheat) is the source of this 134-nucleotide non-coding RNA. Lineage: Eukaryota; Viridiplantae; Streptophyta; Magnoliopsida; Poales; Poaceae. The record is from Rfam.
GUCCUACUCCCUCCGUCCGAAAAUACUUGUCAUCAAAAUGGAUAAAAAAAGAUGAAUUUAGAACUAAAAUACGUCUAGAUACAUCCCUUUUACCCAUUUCGAUGACAAGUAUUUCCGGACGGAGGGAGUACUAU